UACAGAGGUCCCAAGCGUUGUUCGGAUUCACUGGGCGUAAAGGGGGCGUAGGCGGUCGGGUAAGUCUGACGGGAAAUCUUCAAGCUCAACUUGGAAACUGCGUCCGAAACUAUUCGGCUAGAGGAAUGGAGGGGAGACUGGAAUACUUGGUGUAGCAGUGAAAUGCGUAGAUAUCAAGUGGAACACCAGUGGCGAAGGCGAGUCUCUGGACAUUUCCUGACGCUGAGGCACGAAAGCCAGGGGAGCAAACGGG
This 253-nucleotide ribosomal RNA is filed under the name uncultured bacterium. RNAcentral describes it as "partial 16S ribosomal RNA". It matches the Rfam family "Bacterial small subunit ribosomal RNA", at positions 524 to 776 of the family's 1533-position model. The record is from RNAcentral.